Molecule: non-coding RNA, 19 nt
Filed under: Arabidopsis thaliana (thale cress)
Lineage: Eukaryota; Viridiplantae; Streptophyta; Magnoliopsida; Brassicales; Brassicaceae
Source: RNAcentral
UGCACUCGGAUGUCGCUUG